This 832-nucleotide ribosomal RNA is filed under the name Candida tropicalis. RNAcentral's name for it is "LSU rRNA". It matches the Rfam family "Eukaryotic large subunit ribosomal RNA", at positions 76 to 926 of the family's 3401-position model. The record is from RNAcentral. Lineage: Eukaryota; Fungi; Ascomycota; Pichiomycetes; Serinales; Debaryomycetaceae.
UGCCUUAGUAGCGGCGAGUGAAGCGGCAAAAGCUCAAAUUUGAAAUCUGGCUCUUUCAGAGUCCGAGUUGUAAUUUGAAGAAGGUAUCUUUGGGUCUGGCUCUUGUCUAUGUUUCUUGGAACAGAACGUCACAGAGGGUGAGAAUCCCGUGCGAUGAGAUGAUCCAGGCCUAUGUAAAGUUCCUUCGAAGAGUCGAGUUGUUUGGGAAUGCAGCUCUAAGUGGGUGGUAAAUUCCAUCUAAAGCUAAAUAUUGGCGAGAGACCGAUAGCGAACAAGUACAGUGAUGGAAAGAUGAAAAGAACUUUGAAAAGAGAGUGAAAAAGUACGUGAAAUUGUUGAAAGGGAAGGGCUUGAGAUCAGACUUGGUAUUUUGUAUGUUACUUCUUCGGGGGUGGCCUCUACAGUUUAUCGGGCCAGCAUCAGUUUGGGCGGUAGGAGAAUUUGCGUUGGAAUGUGGCACGGCUUCGGUUGUGUGUUAUAGCCUUCGUCGAUACUGCCAGCCUAGACUGAGGACUGCGGUUUAUACCUAGGAUGUUGGCAUAAUGAUCUUAAGUCGCCCGUCUUGAAACACGGACCAAGGAGUCUAACGUCUAUGCGAGUGUUUGGGUGUAAAACCCGUACGCGUAAUGAAAGUGAACGUAGGUGGGGGCCCGUAUGGGUGCACCAUCGACCGAUCCUGAUGUCUUCGGAUGGAUUUGAGUAAGAGCAUAGCUGUUGGGACCCGAAAGAUGGUGAACUAUGCCUGAAUAGGGUGAAGCCAGAGGAAACUCUGGUGGAGGCUCGUAGCGGUUCUGACGUGCAAAUCGAUCGUCGAAUUUGGGUAUAGGGGCGA